GCUGGGCAUGGUGGUGCAUGUCUGUAAUUCCAGCAACUUGGGAGGCUGAGGCAGGAGGAUUGCAAGUUCAAGGUCAGCCUCAGCAAAUUAACAAGGCCCUAAGCAAUUUUGUGGAGAAACUGUCUCAA
RNAcentral lists this small RNA (128 nucleotides) under Marmota monax (woodchuck). Lineage: Eukaryota; Metazoa; Chordata; Mammalia; Rodentia; Sciuridae. The record is from RNAcentral.